AACGCAAGUUGCGCUCCCAUUUGCGUGGGAGCAUGCCUCUUUGAGUGUCGGUUUCCCAUACCCUCCAGAGCUUUUCGAAGCUGUGGGAGAGUGAGCGUUCGGUGCGUUCGACGCGCCGUCGCUUGAAGACACGGGACGUGUCCUCUAAGGCUCGCACAACGACGCCAUACCAAACACACACAACGUGGGUAGGUCUCGCUUCGGCGACACACGACACGCUGUGGGUGGGCGUCCGCGCGAAUCUUAUUACGGACCGCGUGUGCCGGCCUCGGUCUCCACGACCGAGCCCUGAGCCGGCCGCUGUAGCGAAACCUCAAAUUUUCGACCUCAAAUGAGGCAAGAAGACCCGCCGAAUUUAA
RNAcentral lists this unclassified non-coding RNA (359 nucleotides) under uncultured fungus. RNAcentral's name for it is "partial contains 5.8S ribosomal RNA, internal transcribed spacer 2, and large subunit ribosomal RNA". The record is from RNAcentral. Lineage: Eukaryota; Fungi.